CGAAUACCAGAGGAGAGCUAGCCUGCUGCGGACCGGCCCAUCCCCCGCCAGAGGCAGGGAGGGAGGCGGGGGGGCACCCAGAGCCGGAAAGGGGCAAUCUUGGCCCCAGAGAUGGCAUCCUCUACCAAACUGUGAGAAAGCUCCCAGUUGCUAACCAAAACCUGGGAUUCUGGACGGUUGACAUGUGCCGGCAGGGUCGCAGCCAGAGAUAAGCUCCCCAGAAGAGACACACAGCACACCUGAGAAGGCGCGCCCACUGCGCACCCAGAAAACCAAGCAGCUGGGAUGGGGUAGGCGAUAAAAUGCAUCCCCCACCUGAAGAGACUGCGCUUGCCAAGCACAUGGUUGCCUGAGCUGCUCGGACCUGGGAACGGCACAAAACACAGGCCCAGCAGAGUCUGCGCCUUUGUGAAGUACCCAAGAACCUGAACCUGAGCGGCUUAGACCUGGGAAGUGCACGCAACCCAAGGUCCACCUCAGAAAGUUCCCUUGCAGAGCAACCUGGAGACUGAGCAGUGUAGACUGGGAAAGCAUACACGCCAUGAGCGGGGCAAACCCAGUGUGGCCCAGACACUGCGAGCACUCCCCAUACACGCCAGUGAUAUUUGUUUGCAGUGUUCCUCCCUCCCCACAGCACACCUGAACAAAUGAGCCUAAAUAAGUGACCACCUUUGCCCCUUUGUGUCAGGGCAGAAAUUAGACAUUGAAGAGACCUGAAAACAGAAGAAGCCAAAAUAAACAGAGAGAACUGCUUUGGAAGUGACAGGUGCAACAGAUUAAAACCCUGUAGUUACAACCAAAUACAUUGAAAGGGGCCUAUAAAUCUUGAGAAGUUAAAGAUGGAACAAUGAACUAUCUGAAACUGAACUGACCCCAUACUGCCCACAACAGCUCCAGAGAAAUUCUUAGAUAUACUUUUACUAUUAACAUUUUUUUAUUUAAAUUUUUUUCUUAUUUUUAAGUCCUCAAUUAAUCCUUUAAUUUUCAUUUUUACAACCUACAAACUCCAGUACUUUGGCCACCUCAUGUGAAGAGUUAACUCAUUGGAAAAGACUCUGAUCCUGGGAGGGAUUGGGGGCAGGAGGAGAAGGGGACAACAGAGGAUGAGAUGGCUGGAUGGCAUCACUGACUCGAUGGACGUGAGUCUGGGUGAACUCCAGGAGUUGGUGAUGGACAGGGAGGCCUGGCAUGCUGUGAUUCACGGGGUCUCAAAGAGUCGGACACAACUGAGUGACUGAACUGAACUGAACUGAACUACUACCUUGCAAAAAAAAAAAAAAACUAUUUUUAAAGCAAAUUUCAUAUAUAUUUUUUAUAAUUUUGUGAUUUUAUUUUGUUUUUUUAAUAGUGUAUUUUUGAGAGUCUAACCUCUACUCUAGAUUUUUAACCUUUGCUUUUUGGUAUUUGUUAUCAAUUUUGUACCUUUAAGAAUCCAAUCUUCAGUACCCAUUUUUACUUAGGAGUGUGAUUACUGGCUUGAUUACUCUCUCCCCCUUCUGAUUUUCCUUUUUCUCCCCCAGGUCACCUCUAUCUCCUCCCUCCCCCUUCUCUUCUCUAC
This is a long non-coding RNA of Bos taurus (domestic cattle), 1558 nucleotides long. NCBI's taxonomy places the organism in Eukaryota, Metazoa, Chordata, Mammalia, Artiodactyla, Bovidae. The record is from Ensembl.